RNAcentral lists this ribosomal RNA (111 nucleotides) under Larimichthys crocea (large yellow croaker). The record is from RNAcentral. Lineage: Eukaryota; Metazoa; Chordata; Actinopteri; Sciaenidae.
GCUUACGGCCAUACACCCUGAAUGCGCCCGCUGAUCUCUGAAGCUAAGCAGGGUCAGGCCUGGUUAGUACUUGGAUGGGAGACCGCCUGGGAAUACCAGGUGCUGUAAGCU